AAACAUGGCAGUGUUCAGAAACAGACCCACCUUCACCAUUGCACAUACUGAAUCAGUUGCUGUCUAUAUUGUACAUGACUUUGUAGAGUGCAUUGUUCCUGUAAAUGGAAAAACUUGACACAAAGCGAACCUGUCUUCUUUCUAGUUUGUUCAUCUUCAAUAUGGCCGUACUGGUUGGGGCACUCGUUAUUGAAAUUAGGAGCCAGAAACAGAGCGGAACAGGAUCAGGACGGAAGUUAUCACUGGAUAAGCAGGACAAUCCUAUCAAGCAUAUGAUGAUGAUACUGGGAACGACCAUCCAGAUUUGCAGUUUCUCAAUCUGCUGAAACCAGUUGCACAUUUCUCUGGCCUUGACUUUGACAGAGGAACCACAGGUAUGUCAUCAUCUAUUAUACGUUGCAUAUAAUUCAGUACAUUUAUUCAGUUAGUUAUGUGCGUGUAUGUUUCACCGACAUAAGGAACAAAUCAGAAUAUGUAUAUCCAACCUCGAAGUAUAAUUACGUAUGCAUUAUCUAAUACACAACUGUUUCAAACGCGAUUUUGAACCAGGUCAUGAAAAACAGUGAGAGAAUGACUUUACGUUUACGUUGGUUUUAGCAAUAUUUCAGCAA
Haliotis rubra (blacklip abalone) is the source of this 611-nucleotide long non-coding RNA. RefSeq lists it as uncharacterized. The record is from RefSeq and is a predicted model, not a curated record. NCBI's taxonomy places the organism in Eukaryota, Metazoa, Mollusca, Gastropoda, Lepetellida, Haliotidae. The transcript has 3 exons.